GUGCACACUUGGAUUUGCAAGCUAAGACUUCAUACAUCACUAAAAACAGUAGAGUGUGUAACAUUAAUUUGAAGAAAUCUUUUUGGAAAAAAAAACAUACAACAGCUCAAAUUAGCCCAAGAGUUUCUGUUGCGUACUCGGUGAUGGAAACAUUUGCUUUUCUCUUUGCUUUUCAUCACCUCUAGGUUUUGAACAUCAGCCCUGUGGUGAGAGACAUCAUGAUGAAUGGAACCUUCCAAAUCAUCCGCCUUUAUUUCGCAGAGUUCACGAGCUACGACUGGAUUUCCUGGUUCACGCUGAAACUGAGUCCAGUCCUUUCCAGCUUGACUGCAGAGAUGCUCCAGACAGUAACAUCAUAUACCGACUGCAACGCAUACCACAUCAUCGUCGGGGCUCUGAGCAGCCACUUUGAGCAGAUGACAUCGCUGAGACAGCAGGAGCUCACCGCAGUCCUGUUGGGCUACCUAAAGCAGAGUCAGGCAUCAGGUAGGUCCAGCAUAGGCAGCGCUUGUUUGUCUUGUGGGCUAAAUAAAAUAGCAAUUCUUGGUGUCUGUGCAUCUUCGUCCGUCCUAACGAGUCUCUUUUGCACGUCCCUGUCGCAGGCUCAACCUGUGGGUCCGACACCAGCAGCCUCAGUGUUUGGCUUGAAGAGAGCUUUGGCAAAUUCUCUGUCUACGUGGACUACCAAGACCUGCGUGCACUCAACGAGGCAUUUGGAAGUGUAAGGGGCCCACCGUGCCACUUGGUUGUUCUGGUGACUGCUUUGAGCAAGCACGUUGUUUCUACAGACGUUGUUGUUGUUGUUUUCUCUUCUGCAGUUCCAGGCACUGGACCUUCUGAGUGCCUCUCAAGUUGCUCAGCUGACCCUAACAUCUGGAGCGCUGAACAACGCAGAUCUGAUCACCAUGGUCUUUGAGCGUCUUGACGGCAGCAAUGCUUUCCAGGAUGUGGACCAGUUCUUGACGGUUCUCACCCAGACCUCGCAGGUACGUUCCCAUCCAUGAGAUGGCAAGCGCGCAGCUGUUCCGCUUUGU
This 1034-nucleotide long non-coding RNA is filed under the name Danio rerio (zebrafish). RNAcentral describes it as "lncRNA (ENSDARG00000117307.1)". The record is from RNAcentral. Lineage: Eukaryota; Metazoa; Chordata; Actinopteri; Cypriniformes; Danionidae.